RNAcentral lists this ribosomal RNA (282 nucleotides) under uncultured prokaryote. RNAcentral describes it as "partial 16S ribosomal RNA". It matches the Rfam family "Bacterial small subunit ribosomal RNA", at positions 524 to 803 of the family's 1533-position model. The record is from RNAcentral.
UACGUAGGGGGCGUAGCGUUAUCCGGAAUUACUGGGCGUAAAGGGUGCGUAGGUGGUUUCUUAAGUCAGAGGUGAAAGGCUACGGCUCAACCGUAGUAAGCCUUUGAAACUGGGAAACUUGAGUGCAGGAGAGGAGAGUGGAAUUCCUAGUGUAGCGGUGAAAUGCGUAGAUAUUAGGAGGAACACCAGUUGCGAAGGCGGCUCUCUGGACUGUAACUGACACUGAGGCACGAAAGCGUGGGGAGCAAACAGGAUUAGAUACCCCUGUAGUCCCUGAGCGGG